AUUGAACGCUGGCGGCAGGCCUAACACAUGCAAGUCGAGCGGAUGAAGGGAGCUUGCUCCUGGAUUCAGCGGCGGACGGGUGAGUAAUGCCUAGGAAUCUGCCUGGUAGUGGGGGAUAACGUCCGGAAACGGGCGCUAAUACCGCAUACGUCCUGAGGGAGAAAGUGGGGGAUCUUCGGACCUCACGCUAUCAGAUGAGCCUAGGUCGGAUUAGCUAGUUGGUGGGGUAAAGGCCUACCAAGGCGGCGAUCCGUAACUGGUCUGAGAGGAUGAUCAGUCACACUGGAACUGAGACACGGUCCAGACUCCUACGGGAGGCAGCAGUGGGGAAUAUUGGACAAUGGGCGAAAGCCUGAUCCAGCCAUGCCGCGUGUGUGAAGAAGGUCUUCGGAUUGUAAAGCACUUUAGGUUGGGAGGAAGGGCAGUAAGUUAAUACCUUGCUGUUUUGACGUUACCAACAGAAUAAGCACCGGCUAACUUCGUG
Molecule: ribosomal RNA, 484 nt
Filed under: uncultured bacterium
Lineage: Bacteria
Description: partial 16S ribosomal RNA
Rfam family: Bacterial small subunit ribosomal RNA
Source: RNAcentral